AUGUCCACCGACCCCGACCGUGCCGCCGCCGAGAAAGCUGAAGCCGACAAGAAGGCCGUCGAGGACACCGCUGCUGCCACCAAAGCCGCGGCCUCUGCAUGGCCUACUGGAGGGUACAACUCGUUUAUCCCGCUCCUGAUUAUUUUCAUAUUAGCAGUACUAGCAGUGUGUGUAGAUUUGUCUACUGUUUGCUUAGUACGUGCAUGUUUAGAUCAAAGUCAGUACGUCAUCAACUUAGUCGAUGCCAUGCUAGUGAUUUACUCGUGGAUUAAUUUAAUCGAGAAAUUGCCUAUUUACUCAACAAUCCAAAAACCUAUUAUGUGUAGGAAUUUUUCGGCAAGUGGCUUUGCCGCAACACUGAAACCGGAUAAGUUUACCGGUACGUAUUUUAAGCGUUGGCAGACAAAGACCACUUUAUGGCUCACGACUAUGAACGUGUUCUGGGUCACCAGUGUGUCCACGGGAACGAUUGCUCCUGAACAGGAGAAGGCGUUCAGGGAGGCAACCACUGUGUUUCUCCUAGCAAUUCUUAGCGUGAUCGGAGAUAAACUGGUCGACGCAUAUUUACAUGUGCAUGUCGCCAAGAACUUGUGGGAGGCGCUCGAAUCUAAGUUCGGGGCCGCCGAUGCAGGGAGCGAGAUGUAUAUUAUAGAGCAGUUCCACGACUACAAGAUGGUUGAGAACCGUCCUGUACUGGAGCAGGCUCAUGAGAUAAUAUGCAUUGUUAAGGAGCUUGAGCUUCUGAAGUGCGAGUUACCGGGCAAGUUUGUCGCGGGCUGCAUAAUCGCUAAGCUCCCCAAUUCCUGGAGGAACUUUGCCACCACUCUGAAACAUCAGAGGCGUGAAUUCUCUGUGGAGGAUGCCAUUGGCCAUCUGAGUGUCGAGCAGAAUUCAAGGGCAAAGGACUCGCACGGAAAAGGGGCCGAAGGGACUUCUGUUGCCAACAUGGUGAACCAGAGAAACCUCAACUCCCACAAGUUCAAGGGAAAGAACGGUGUCCAACAGAAUACCGACUUCAAGAAGAAGGGUAAGAAGACCUUCAAGAAGAACAAGAAGGACGAGGGAUGCUUUACUUGUGGUUCGACUGAACAUUGGGCCAACAGGUGCCCAAACAAGUUUAAGAAGUCAGGACAGGACUCCAAGUCUGUCAACAUGAUUGUGGUCAACAAUGAGAAUGGUGCAUCUGGGUACGGUAAUCUAUUUACUGUUUUUUCAGUGUUUCAGCCUAUCGAUUGGUGGGUGGAUACAGGUGCAGGUGUUCAUGUGUGUGCUGACAUUUCAUUGUUCUCUUCUUACCAGGUCACAGGCCACGGGUCCGUAUUGAUGGGGAAUGGCGCGAGUGCUUCUGUUCAUGGUGUUGGCACGGUCGAUCUGAAGUUUACUUCGGAAAGGAUCGUGCAGCUGAAGAACGUGCAGCAUGUCCCCGCCAUCAAGAAGAACCUCGUUAGUGGCUCCCUUCUAUGUAGAGAAGGGUUUAAGUUGGUAUUCGAGUCUAAUAAAUUAGUUGCUACUAAGUAUGGACUAUUUGUUGGAAAAUGUUAUGAGAGCAGAGGGAUGUUCCGCCUUUCCCUCGCAGAUUUCUGUAAUAAAGUCGUGAACCAUGUUCAUUCGAGUGUUAAUGAAUCUGAGGUUUGGCAUUCACGUCUUUGUCACAUAAGUUUCGGUGUUAUGACGCGGCUAGCUAAGUUGGAUUUAAUCCCGAGUUUCACUUUAGCCAAAGAUUCUAAGUGCCUGUCAUGUGUGCAAGCUAAGCAACCUCGCCAGCCUCACAAGGCUGCGGAGGAGAGACACUUGGCACCAUUAGAACUCAUACAUUCUGAUCUUUGUGAGAUGAACGGUGUAUUGACUAAAGGUGGAAAGAAAUACUUCAUGAAAUUGAUAGAUGAUUCCACUAGAUAUUGCUAUGUGUAUCUGUUAAAUACUAAAGAUGAGGCUCUACACUACUUUAAAAUCUAUAAGGCAGAAGUUGAGAAUCAACUUGAAAAUUAA
Molecule: ribosomal RNA, 1989 nt
Filed under: Triticum aestivum (bread wheat)
Lineage: Eukaryota; Viridiplantae; Streptophyta; Magnoliopsida; Poales; Poaceae
Description: partial small subunit ribosomal RNA
Source: RNAcentral